Non-coding RNA from Caenorhabditis elegans, 136 nucleotides. Lineage: Eukaryota; Metazoa; Nematoda; Chromadorea; Rhabditida; Rhabditidae. The record is from Ensembl.
CUCAAAAGUGUGCCAAACAUUUACACAAAUACAAAGGCCCUCAACACACACACACAGUCGGUACACUUUGGCAGUGGUAAGAUACAGCUAUGGGCCUCAAAAUAAACAGAAAUUGAAACUUGCAGGCACCAGUAUU